Molecule: ribosomal RNA, 253 nt
Filed under: uncultured bacterium
Lineage: Bacteria
Description: partial 16S ribosomal RNA
Rfam family: Bacterial small subunit ribosomal RNA
Source: RNAcentral
UACGAGUGCUUCGAGCGUUAUCCGGAAUCAUUGGGCGUAAAGGGUGUGUAGGCGGCGUUGUUAGUCUCCCGUUAAAUUCCUCGGCUCAACCGGGGGCUCGCUGGAGAAACGGCAAUGCUUGAGAUUGGCAGGGGUCACUGGAACUCUAGGUGUAGCGGUGAAAUGCGUAGAUAUCGAGAGGAACACCUGCGGCGAAGGCGGGUUGCUGGGCUGACACUGACGCUGAUGCGCGAAAGCUAGGGGAGCGAACGGG